GGAGGGGUGCAAGCGUUGUUCGGAACUACUGGGCGUAAAGCGCGCGUAGGGCGGCCUCUUAUGUCAGGGUGUGAAAGCCCUCGGCCCAACCGAGGAAGUGCGCCUGAAACUGAGAGGCUUGAGUACGAGAGAGGAGGACGGAAUUCCCAGUGUAGAGGUGAAAUUCGUAGAUAUUGGGAAGAACACCGGUGGCGAAAGCGGUUCUCUGGAUCGAUACUGACGCUAAGGCGCGAAAGCGUGGGGAGCAAACAGGAUUAGAUACCCUGGUAGUCCACGCUGUAAACGAUGGAUAUUAGUUGUUGCGGGCUUAUAAACUCGCAGUGACGACGCUAACGCAUUAAAUAUCCCGCCUGGGGACUACGGCCGCAAGGUUA
Molecule: ribosomal RNA, 374 nt
Filed under: uncultured organism
Description: partial 16S ribosomal RNA
Rfam family: Bacterial small subunit ribosomal RNA
Source: RNAcentral